AUGGCCCCGCCGUUCAGGGCGUUGUGCAAGGUGCUGUGCAAAGAGCCCGCUGUGCAAAAUGCCGUGCAAAGGCGUCGGUGCUGUGCAAGGUGCCAGUGGUGUGCAAGGUGCUGUGCAAGGUGCCAGUGCUGUGCAAGCUGUUGUGCAAGGUGUUGUGCAAAGGCCCUGCUGUGCAAGGUGUCUGCAAGAUGCCAGCACUGUGCAAGGUGCCGUGCAAGGCGCCGUGCACAGGCCCUGCUGUGCAAGGUGCUCUGCAAAGCGCCGCCACAACGCAAGGUGCCACGCGGAGGCCCUGCAGCGCACGGCAUUGUGCAAGGUGCAGCCCAGGGAGUUGUGCAAGGAGUUGUGCAAGGAAUUGUGCAAGGAGCCACGCCACGCACGGCCGGGCUCCCUGCAAGCUGGGAACAGCGGGGCAGAGAGGGGCAGGGUCCCUUUUGGGGGGUUGGGGGGGUCCCCGGGCAACCCUUGUGCAGCAAAGCGCAGGGGGCAGAUGCCCAGAGCCCUCCUCGUCUUUCCCAGCCUUUAAGGAUUCCCAAAUACCCCAAAAAAAAAAGAAGGUUGGGGGGGGGGGGGGGGGGGGGCGCCCCUCCCCGCCUCCCCCUGGCGCACGGCCACCCCGUAAUGGGCUCUCCCCGGAUAAUCCGCGCUGGCCGUGAAAUCCUAUUAAAGCUGCCCUGGCAAAUUAGCAGCGGGCCCGAAACCAUCCCAAAACGAACGCCGGGCGCUCCCCCCACGGCGGGAGAAAGGAAGGAGAAAAGAGCCGAAACCCCGCGUUUUUGGGGCAGGCGAAAAGGCGCCGGUUUUUUGCUUUUUUUUUUUUUAAUUUUUUUUUCUUGCCAGGAAGCGCCGUUCAUUCAUUUGGUUCCAGAAGGGGGAAACACCAAAAGUGCGUUUCCGCCCCCAAAACCUCCCCGCUGAGGUUCCCUUGUGCCACCGGGGACUUUUUGGGGUGCGGGGGGACCCCAUAGAGCCCGGCCACGGCUCUGGGUGGGGACACGGGACCACGAGCGUCCUGGUGGCCUCGUGCGCCAGCAUCCCCGGUCCCCAAGGGCUCCGUGUCCCUGCGUCCCUAUAAUUGUCCCCUGGGGGCUCUGUCCCAAUGUCCCCAUGUCCCUACAGCCGUGUCCCAGUGUUUUUGGGUCCUGCAUCCCUGCCCCGAUGUCCCUGCGCCUCUCUGGCCCCGUGCCCGAUGUCCCUGUGCCCGCUGUGCCGUGACAUGGGGACACGGGGACACGGGGCCACCAGGGCGAUGGCCAAGGCCACCCCAUGGCGAGCAGGGUGUGCGGGGGCUGGGGGACAUCUCCUUGACCCUAUAUGAGCAGCAGGAAACUGGGGACACGGAGAAACCCCCCCAAAAGGGGCACCCACAGCCUGGGGGCUCCCCAGGGACCUCCCGGGUGCGCUCUGGGGCGCAAAGCACCCACGGGACCGGGGUGGAUGUGGGACCCCGGCUACGGGCUGGGUGUCACGGCCCUAUAGAGAGCGUCACGGCCCUAUAGGGCGAGCAAAAAGGGUGUGCUACGGGCGUGCAAAACCGGGGGGGUGUAGGGCCACCGGGGCGAGGCACCUUCCGGGUGCAAACGGAGCCGCCGCAGCGCCGGCACCGCCCGUCUCCGGGCACCCAAGGGUGACCCCAUAAAGGCACCGGGGUCUCUCCGCGCAUCGGGGUCCCUCGGGUGCCCUCUCCCCAAUGGGGUUGGCUCGGCCCCGCUGCCGGGAAGUCCCCACGGCCUCCUGGUGGCCCCGAUCCCACAACCCCGGCGCACGGCAGAGCAGGAAAUAAUUACUCACGGCGCCCGCCCGCAGCUGCGGGGCCACCCCGAUCCGGGGCAUGGCCGGCACCGGGGGUGGGGGGGACAUGGGGUGGCCCCACCCUGGGGGUGCGGGGACCCUAAAGCACCAUGGUGUGGGUGCAGCA
Molecule: long non-coding RNA, 1918 nt
Filed under: Anas platyrhynchos platyrhynchos (common mallard)
Lineage: Eukaryota; Metazoa; Chordata; Aves; Anseriformes; Anatidae
Description: lncRNA (ENSAPLG00000017950.1)
Source: RNAcentral